UUUCAGGUGCCCGGAGUUUCCGGGAUAAUUGGGAAGUUCGUAAAAACCGACGCUGACCCGCAACCGUGAAAGGCGAUGCUGUCGCGAGAUGCCACUGUGACGCGUGUCAUGGGAAGGCGCGGCAGCAGAAGACCCUUGAGCCGGGAAACCAGCCUGAAAGC
RNAcentral lists this non-coding RNA (161 nucleotides) under uncultured Desulfovibrio sp. The record is from RNAcentral. Lineage: Bacteria; Pseudomonadati; Thermodesulfobacteriota; Desulfovibrionia; Desulfovibrionales; Desulfovibrionaceae.